AACUGCGAGUGAAGCGGGAAAAGCUCAAAUUUAAAAUCUGGCGGUCAUUGGCCGUCCGAGUUGUAAUUUAGAGAAGCGUCUUCCGCGCUGGACCGUGCACAAGUCUCCUGGAAUGGAGCGUCAUAGAGGGUGAGAAUCCCGUCUUUGGCACGGAUGCCCGGUGCUUCUGUGAUGCGCUCUCGAAGAGUCGAGUUGUUUGGGAAUGCAGCUCAAAAUGGGUGGUGAACUCCAUCUAAAGCUAAAUAUUGGCGAGAGACCGAUAGCGAACAAGUACCGUGAGGGAAAGAUGAAAAGCACUUUGGAAAGAGAGUGAAACAGUACGUGAAAUUGUUGAAAGGGAAACGCUUGAAGUCAGUCGYGUCGACCGAGACUCAGCCUUGCCUUGGCUUGGUGUACUUCUCGGCCCGACGGGUCAGCAUCAAUUUUGUUCCUCGGAUAAUGGCAAGGGAAAGGUGGCACCUUUACGGGUGUGUUAUAGUCUCCUGUCGCAUGCGAGGGGUGGGAUUGAGGAACUCAGCGUGCACCUCGGUGUCGGGGCCUUU
RNAcentral lists this ribosomal RNA (542 nucleotides) under Lactarius subzonarius. Its description in RNAcentral is "LSU rRNA". It matches the Rfam family "Eukaryotic large subunit ribosomal RNA", at positions 85 to 634 of the family's 3401-position model. Lineage: Eukaryota; Fungi; Basidiomycota; Agaricomycetes; Russulales; Russulaceae. The record is from RNAcentral.